Molecule: ribosomal RNA, 256 nt
Filed under: uncultured Gardnerella sp.
Lineage: Bacteria; Bacillati; Actinomycetota; Actinomycetes; Bifidobacteriales; Bifidobacteriaceae
Description: partial 16S ribosomal RNA
Rfam family: Bacterial small subunit ribosomal RNA
Source: RNAcentral
CGAACGGGUGAGUAAUGCGUGACCAACCUGCCCCAUGCUCCAGAAUAGCUCUUGGAAACGGGUGGUAAUGCUGGAUGCUCCAACUUGACGCAUGUCUUGUUGGGAAAGUGUUUAGUGGCAUGGGAUGGGGUCGCGUCCUAUCAGCUUGUAAGCGGGGUAAUGGCCCACCUAGGCUUCGACGGGUAGCCGGCCUGAGAGGGCGGACGGCCACAUUGGGACUGAGAUACGGCCCAGACUCCUACGGGAGGCAGCAGCA